AUGACUACUAGCAUCAAUAUGUUAGCAGUUUUUUUCAUUGUUUUGGUCAUGAUCUCAGGAGGAACAAGUUUUGAAGCCCAUGAUAAAUAUUGCACUAUCAAAGACUUCUGUAACAGUCGAAUCGAGAUGAUAUCCCGACCAUCAGGCCUGUCGAAUCAAGAUGAUAUCCCGACCAUCUGGCCUGGUAUGUGCUCAACUCUUAUGACUUAUAUGCCUAGUCUUCCGAGUAGGGACCUCCUUAGCGUGGUCCGAUCUUAA
Vicia faba (fava bean) is the source of this 258-nucleotide non-coding RNA. The record is from the annotation of a GenBank genome assembly. Lineage: Eukaryota; Viridiplantae; Streptophyta; Magnoliopsida; Fabales; Fabaceae.